Chiroxiphia lanceolata (lance-tailed manakin) is the source of this 260-nucleotide long non-coding RNA. RefSeq lists it as uncharacterized. NCBI's taxonomy places the organism in Eukaryota, Metazoa, Chordata, Aves, Passeriformes, Pipridae. The record is from RefSeq and is a predicted model, not a curated record. The transcript is spliced from 3 exons.
CACUGAUUUGACCAGAGGGCAACUGGCAAUGCAAUACAACUGCAGAACAGCCUCAGCUCAAGAGGCCAAGGGGUACCAAGAUAGGAUUGAUAAACUGGACACUGUCUUAGGUGAUGCAGUGUUAUUUUUAGAGGGCCAGCACUGAUGAGCACCCAGAUGAUAACACUUUGCCAUGUGUACCUCAAACUUAAUAAAGAAGAAAAUCUGUCAGAGGAAAACUUUACAGGCAAAUGAUGCACAGGGCUGCCCUGCAAAGUCCA